Molecule: ribosomal RNA, 246 nt
Filed under: uncultured bacterium
Lineage: Bacteria
Description: partial 16S ribosomal RNA
Rfam family: Bacterial small subunit ribosomal RNA
Source: RNAcentral
CUAGCUGUAAACGGUGGGCACUAGGUGUAGGAGGCAUCGACCCCUCCUGUGCCGUAGCUAACGCAUUAAGUGCCCCGCCUGGGGAGUACGACCGCAAGGUUGAAACUCAAAGGAAUUGACGGGGGCCCGCACAAGCGGUGGAGCAUGUGGUUUAAUUCGAUGCAACGCGAAGAACCUUACCCAGGUUUGACAUGCUUUGGACAGGUGUGGAAACACACCCUCCCUUCGGGGCCAUUGCACAGGUGC